RNAcentral lists this long non-coding RNA (2005 nucleotides) under Equus asinus (donkey). Its description in RNAcentral is "lncRNA (ENSEASG00005037202.1)". Lineage: Eukaryota; Metazoa; Chordata; Mammalia; Perissodactyla; Equidae. The record is from RNAcentral.
CGCACUCUCAGUCUCCGUAGCUCGCUCGCUCUCGGGUUCGGGUGGAAAGGUGGAGACUCUCAGGAAAUCUAUUAUGGUGUAUACCAUAGCUUCCUUUCCCAUGAGAAACUUACCAUGUAGUUGGAAAGAUGAUAUAAAAGGAAACGAUUUCAGUAAUUUUUUAAAGUACCAUCAAUAAUAGAGGAAUGCAAAUUUCAGAAAAAUCUGACCUAGUCUGAAAGGAUCAAGGAAGAUGGCAUGCAAGGGAAUUAUUGAGCUCAAUUUUGAAAGAUGAUUUGGAAUUAUUCGGAGAGGGUAAAAAGAGUUUGUGGACCGAGGGAUAUUCUAGACAGAAGAACAUCAUGAACAAAGACGUAGAGGUGUCAAACAGCAUUCACGAGGCUGGCACAGUGAUUGAUGGAAACAGCAGAUAGGUCUGCUGUCUCGGUGAACACAGCAGGGUGGCAGGUCUGUUGCCUCCAGCUGAGUGGUCACAGGCCAGCAGGGAUAGUUCUGACAGCAGCUGAGAUGGUCAAGUUAAUACCCUGAAGCAAGCUCAGAAAAAGGCUUGAGAAACAUCUGCAGCUCAAGCCUGUCCACAGAGGAUGCUCCAGGAGGUGCAGCUGCAUAAUGGCCAGCUCAGAACCCAGAUCUCCUGCUGCCCGGCACAGUGCCCUUUGGUGACACCUGCUCCCCAUCUCAAGGAUCCACUCUCCAUGGUUUGCCAUCCAGCCCUGGACCCAGGAGGCCUGACCUAUGUAGAUGGCUUCAAGAGUUUCCUUUGGCUUCCGGCUUCAGGUUGGGUCCAGUCAAUGGAAGUGCAGGUUAUUAGCAGAAGACCCUUAGGUGGCAGGAGAAUGGAGGCAGAUAUUUAUUGUCCCAGCUUCCUUCCUGCUGGGUUCCUGACAAGUGUGCUCUGAACCUAGCCAGAGGCCAUAGCUCCUGCCAGGUGGACCCUCCACAGAGCUGCCUCCCCAGGCUAUGUGACCAUUAGCCUUCAUGCUUAGAGGUAAUAACUGCCCCUGAGGUGGCAAACCUUGGGGGAAUGGCACCAUCACUUGUUACCUUCCCUAAACCAUGCCCACACACUUUAAGUAGUCCUUUCUGUUAAAUUCUCCUCCAAGUAUCCAAUGUGAGUUUUCCAUUUGAUUUUUGCCAACACCUUGAAUGCUGAAGUGUGUUCACUCUUUGCCUUUGUGUGAACUAAGCAUAUGGCAAAAAGUGCUAACACAAUCUCGAUUGUGUGGAGAAAUUCUGUACUCUCAAACUGCUUUAUUAAUAUGUCUCAUCUUCCUUUUCUUUAAGAAGAAACCAAAGCUCCAGUUUCCAGCCAGCUCUAAAUCUCUCUUGAGGUCAGCUUGCCCGCAGUCUGUCAGGAUUCAAGGGGUGAUUGCUACUGUUCGGGUUGGACAUUUUACAAUCCAUAUGCAGCCUCCAUCCCCUAGAAUAUGUGAACUAGAAAGAGGACAGAUAUUCUUAUGAUUGUUAUUGAAAAAUUAUUAAGUAAUUUUUUUCUUUUGUGUCCUUUUCCCUCGUAGGCAACUGGUCCUCUCACCAUAGCCUUUCAUUACACAUACACACUCUGUCGCAUUAAAAGGCUAGACUCUAGAAGCCAGAGACAUAAAAGCUUAACCUCUCAUAGUUAAAAAAAUAUAUAAAUGUUAUGGACUGAAUUGUGUACCCUAAAAAUUCACAUGUUGAAGCCAUAACCCAACAAUGUGGCUCUAUUUGGAGAUAUAAAUUUUAGAAGGUAAUUAAGGUUAAAUGAGAUCAUAAAGGUCGGAGCCCUAAUCUGAUAGUAUUAGUGGCCUUAUAAGAAGAAGAGAUCACACUUUGUCUCCCUUCCUGUCUCCCUGGCCCCCUCCCCCCACACCACUGCCGUCCCCACCGCGUGAGGACACAGCGAGAAGGUAGUUGUCUACAAGCCAGAAAGAGGGUUCUCAUCAGGAACUGAACCAGCCGGCACCUUGAUCUUGGACUUCCCAGCCUCCAGAACUAAAGAGAAAUAAAUAUCUGUUGUUUAAGC